UUUCUCUUUUAUCAAUCUUCCCUCUCUUUUCUUCACAUUUGUAAUACUACUUCCUCUCUCCUCGAUUCCUCCAACAACAAAGAAAACCUUAAGAACAAAGUUUCAGAAAACAAUCUAAUCCACUCUACUCAUUCAUAUUUCGAGCUACACAUUUGAAGAACAACAUCACACCAUGUCAAGACCACCUAUUAUGAUUUGUGAUUUGAGGGUAGAUAAAAAUGUCUGGAAACUCGCCAUUCGCGUGGUUGAUUUGUGGAUAGUUAAGGAGCAGAAUGGACAACAACACUUUGAAGGCGUUAUCCAAGAUUCCAAGGGGGACAAAAUCCUUGUCGUCAUCCGGAACCGGGAUUUCGAGAUGUGGAAACAAACUACAAGAACAAUAAACCUAUAUGGUUUAUAAUGGCGACCCUCUUGUCAAUGAUCUUGCUUUUAAAAUCUGUGAUAGCCCGUUGGAGCUAUUUCUUCAUAGAGGAACCACCGUAACCAUGUUAGACAUGCCGGAAAUACAAAUGCACCAGUUCCAUUUAAAACCCAUUGUUGAUUUCUUGCAUGGGAACUUUGAAGUGAACCGCUUAUACGAUGUUAUUGGUGUACUCCACCAAGUACUGAAGACUCAAGUUGCAAGGGGUGGACGAAAGGCAUGCGUCAACAUUCUUUUAUCAGAUGAGAUAUUAUUGUCUUAGCACUACCUUGUAAUGCUUAACAUGUUUCAUUUCUCUAUAGUUAGUUCAUUAAGUUUUUGUAUCUAUUUUAUUUGAAGUGGAAGAGAACUUGAUCUUAAAUUAUGGGAAACAUAUGCCAACCAAUUUAUGGCACACACAUAUGAAAAUACAACAGGGGGGCCCAAAACCAUCAUUAUCACUCAUGUUAUGUGCCAAAAAAAUUCAACCACUGGAAAGAUCUAUAUUUCUAAUGCUUGCAUUGGAUCAAAACUGUUUAUUGAUUAUGAUCAUCCAUAGGUCACAUCAUUCAAAGAAAAAUUAGGAGACAAUGGUCACUCCAAUAUUCUUUCAUAACAACUAUCUCAAAGUUCUGCAUCUUAGGGAGCGUCUGAAGACCAUUCAUUCUCAUAUACCAAUGACGUCAAAACUAUUGGGGACAUAAAUUCUCUUCAACAUUCAACUUUUUGCAACACAUUUAGAACCACUAAGAGGUUCAAAUCAAGUCGGUUUGGUUGGUACUAUGAGCAAUUUCCAGCUUGUAAGAGGACUAAUAAGUCUCCGGGGGUGCCUUUCAUAUGUACCUGUUGUGAAAACAAAGUUGCUCCCAUCACUAAGUAUAAAAUUGAAAUAGAGGUUGAGUAUGAAGGCAAGAUUUUGUUUUGUUUUGGGACAAGGAGUGUAUUCAGUAUGUUGGUUUAUCUGCACAUGAUUUACGAGAAGUAAUGAAAAAGACCAAUGAAGACCAUCCACAAGUCUAUUCCGCACACCUAGAUAAUCUAUUGGGCAAAGAAUUCGGUUUUUGUGUGAAGUACCAACCAGACUUUUAGCAAUCUUCUAUUGUCAAGCUUUCAGAGGAUAAACAAAUCAUCCAAAUGAUCAAAGAUACCAUGGUUCAACAUGGGCAAACUUCAAAAAAGAUGGUGAGUUCUCCAAUUAUCAAAGCAACCGAAAUUGAUUCUAACAUAGAUCUUCCCGACAAAGACUUUGUCACUCCUACUCGGGUUCCCAUAUCUAACAUGACUGCUUCUCAAAACUCGAGUGACGAUGUUAAUUCAAGCAAAACCCCGUGUAAGAGGUUGUCCCAAGAAAGUUAUUUUGAGGAGCUAGGAAGUUCGACUAUGUUGUCCCCAAAGCUAUCUGGAACAAAGUCUGCCAAGAGUGGCAAACAUGCCAAGAGAAAAUGAAACUGCUACCUUUGUCACAUUUUUUUGUACAACAAGCUUCAAUUUUGAUGUAAUGCAAACCUUUCUUGUUAAAUAGGACCCAUACAUAACCUUCACAACUUUAUCUACUUAAUUAAUUUUUUUACUUCAUGUUGUCAGAUCUAGCAUUUGGAUAUGGUGCAUGGUUAAUUUGUAACCUUAUCUUAUUCUAAUGGACAUGUUUAAUUUAGAACUUCCAUCAAGGAUGUCUUAUAACAAUUAAUCUUUAUUUCA
Long non-coding RNA from Lathyrus oleraceus (garden pea), 2098 nucleotides. RefSeq lists it as uncharacterized. The transcript is spliced from 11 exons. Lineage: Eukaryota; Viridiplantae; Streptophyta; Magnoliopsida; Fabales; Fabaceae. The record is from RefSeq and is a predicted model, not a curated record.